GCAUAUCAUAGCGGAGGAAAAGAAUCAACAGGGAUUGCCUCAGUAACGGCGAGUGAAGCGGCAAGAGCUCAAAUUUGAAAGCUGGCCCCUUCGGGGUCCGCGUUGUAAUUUGCAGAGGAUGCUUCGGGUGCAGCCCCCGUCUAAGUGCCCUGGAACGGGCCGUCAUAGAGGGUGAGAAUCCCGUCUGGGACGGGGUGUCUGCGUCCGUGUGAAGCUCCUUCGACGAGUCGAGUUGUUUGGGAAUGCAGCUCUAAAUGGGUGGUAAAUUUCAUCUAAAGCUAAAUACUGGCCGGAGACCGAUAGCGCACAAGUAGAGUGAUCGAAAGAUGAAAAGCACUUUGAAAAGAGAGUUAAACAGCACGUGAAAUUGUUGAAAGGGAAGCGUUUGCGACCAGACUCGCCCGCGGGGUUCAGCCGGCAUUCGUGCCGGUGUACUUCCCCGUGGGCGGGCCAGCGUCGGUUUGGGCGGCCGGUCAAAGGCCCUCGGAAUGUAUCACCUCUCGGGGUGUCUUAUAGCCGAGGGUGCAAUGCGGCCUGCCCGGACCGAGGAACGCGCUUCGGCUCGGACGCUGGCGUAAUGGUCGUAAAUGACCCGUCUUGAAACACGGACCAAGGAGUCUAACAUCUACGCGAGUGUUCGGGUGUCAAACCCGUACGCGCAGUGAAAGCGAACGGAGGUGGGAGCCCCCUCGCGGGGCGCACCAUCGACCGAUCCUGAUGUCUUCGGAUGGAUUUGAGUACGAGCGUAGCUGUGGGGACCCGAAAGAUGGUGAACUAUGCCUGAAUAGGGCGAAGCCAGAGGAAACUCUGGUGGAGGCUCGCAGCGGGUUCUGACGUGCAAAUCGAUCGUCAAAUUUGGGUAUAGGGGCGAAAGACUAAUCGAACUCAUCUAGUAGCUGGGUUCUGGCGAG
This 911-nucleotide ribosomal RNA is filed under the name Aspergillus spinosus. Its description in RNAcentral is "LSU rRNA". It matches the Rfam family "Eukaryotic large subunit ribosomal RNA", at positions 38 to 965 of the family's 3401-position model. The record is from RNAcentral. Lineage: Eukaryota; Fungi; Ascomycota; Eurotiomycetes; Eurotiales; Aspergillaceae.